This 253-nucleotide ribosomal RNA is filed under the name uncultured bacterium. RNAcentral's name for it is "partial 16S ribosomal RNA". It matches the Rfam family "Bacterial small subunit ribosomal RNA", at positions 524 to 776 of the family's 1533-position model. The record is from RNAcentral.
UACGUAGGGGGCAAGCGUUGUCCGGAAUUAUUGGGCGUAAAGCGCACGUAGGCGGUUCGUUAUGUCAGAUGUGAAAGCCCUUGGCUCAACUGAGGAAGUGCAUCUGAAACUGGCGAGCUAGAGUAUGUAAGAGGGUCGCGGAAUUCCCGGUGUAGAGGUGAAAUUCGUAGAUAUCGGGAGGAACACCGGUGGCGAAGGCGGCGACCUGGGACAAUACUGACGCUGAGGUGCGAAAGUGUGGGGAGCAAACAGG